CCCUUAGAUGUUCUGGGCCGCACGCGUGCUACACUGAUGCAUUCAACGAGUCUAAAACCUGGUCUGAUAGGGCUGGGUAAUCUUUUGAAAGUGCAUCGUGAUUGGGAUAGAUGAUUGCAAUUCUUCAUCUUCAACGAGGAAUGCCUAGUAAACGCAAGUCAUCAGCUUGCAUUGAUUACGUCCCUGCCCUUUGUACACACCGCCCGUCGCUCCUACCGAUUGAAUGAUCCGAUGAAUACCAUGGAUUGAGAGUACGAAUAGGUUCGCUUAUUUCUGCUCCUCGAGAAGUGGAGUAAAUCUUAUCAUUUAGAGGAAGGAGAAGUCGUAACA
Molecule: ribosomal RNA, 330 nt
Filed under: uncultured eukaryote
Lineage: Eukaryota
Description: partial 18S ribosomal RNA
Rfam family: Eukaryotic small subunit ribosomal RNA
Source: RNAcentral